Molecule: RNA transcript, 2874 nt
Organism: Crotalus tigris (Tiger rattlesnake)
Lineage: Eukaryota; Metazoa; Chordata; Lepidosauria; Squamata; Viperidae
Gene: LCK
Gene name: LCK proto-oncogene, Src family tyrosine kinase
Exons: 14
Source: RefSeq, a predicted model, not a curated record
GAGAGAGAGAGAGAGAGAGAAAGGGAGAGAGGAGUGAAGAAAUUUUUGUUCUUUUCAUCUGCAAAGUUCUGUCUCUGUCUAAACAGUUAAUGUGGAUUAACUCUGCAGUGUGAUGAGGAAGACCUUUCCCUCCCUUUCAAAUUGUGGGAACCACGGAGAAACUAAACCCCGACUAAAAACAUUAUGGGUUGCUGCUGCAGUUUAGAUUAUGAUGAUGAUGACUGGGCUGUAGACGCUGAAAUUUGUGAGAUGUGUCAUUAUCCUAUUGAUCCAGCCACCAAGCCAAAGAAGCCCACUUUAAAUGGUUCUGAGUGGCAAACCCCUCUGUUGGGGGCCGAAGGGAUUCCUCCGCCUAGUUCACCCCUCCAAGAUAAACUGGUGGUUGCCCUCUAUGACUAUGAAUCAACUCAUGAAGGCGAUCUUCUGCUUCGAACAGGAGAACAGCUGAGGAUAGUAGAAGAGACAGGGGAAUGGUGGAAAGCUCAAUCUCUCACCACAGGGCAAGUGGGCUAUAUACCAUGCAACUUUGUCGCCAAGUUGAACACACUGGAACAAGAGCCUUGGUUUUUCAAAGCCCUCAGCAGGAAGGAUGCUGAGCGCCGUCUUCUCAGUGCUGGUAACACACAUGGUGCUUUCCUCCUUCGAGAGAGUGAAUCCACCAAAGGCUCCUUCUCCCUCUCUGUGCGAGAUUUUGACCAGAACCAAGGAGAAGUUGUGAAGCACUAUAAGAUACGAAAUAUGGACAACGGCGGGUUCUACAUCUCUCCUCGUAUCACCUUUGACAGCUUGCACAGCCUGGUAGAACAUUAUAUCAAUAAUGCGGAUGGGCUUUGCACCCGCCUAACCAAGCCCUGCCAAACUCAGAAGCCACAGAAGCCCUGGUGGCAGGAUGAGUGGGAAGUGCCCCGGGAGAGCCUGAAGCUGGUGGAGAAACUGGGAGCAGGGCAAUUUGGUGAAGUUUGGAUGGGCUACUAUAAUGGACACACCAAAGUGGCCAUCAAGAGUUUGAAACAAGGCAGCAUGUCGCCUGAAGCUUUCCUGGCUGAAGCCAACCUGAUGAAGAAACUGCGCCAUGCACGCCUGGUGAGGCUGUACGCAGUGGUGACUCAAAGGCCCAUGUUCAUCAUUACAGAGUACAUGGAAAAAGGCAACCUGGUAGAUUUUCUCAAAGCUGCAGAAGGCACUAAAUUAACAAUUUAUAAACUGCUAGACAUGUCAGCACAGAUAGCAGAAGGAAUGGCCUUCCUGGAGAAGAAAAACUAUAUCCAUCGUGACCUGCGGGCUGCCAAUAUCCUGGUGUCGGAAAGCCUCUGCUGCAAGAUUGCAGAUUUUGGGCUGGCCCGCCUUAUGAAGGACGAUGAAUACACUGCUCAAGAGGGAGCAAAGUUUCCAAUUAAAUGGACAGCCCCCGAGGCCAUCAAUUAUGGAACAUUCACCAUCAAAUCAGAUGUCUGGUCAUUUGGGAUUCUACUGACUGAGAUCAUCACUUAUGGCCGGAUCCCUUACCCAGGAAUGAGCAAUCCAGAAGUCAUCCAAAACCUGGAACGAGGGUACCGGAUGCCGCAGCCGGACAACUGUCCAGAAGAGCUGUACAAACUGAUGCUGCAAUGUUGGAGGGAUAACCCAGAGCAACGGCCCACUUUUGAGUUCCUAAAAGGGGUCCUGGAGGACUUUUUCACUGCCACGGAAGGACAGUAUGAGCAGCAGGUGUAAAGUUGGCCUCAAGCCAGGAUCCAUGGUACACUGUUCUCGCAACCAACAGAAAAGAUGCUCUUUUGAAGACUUCGCCCUGCAUCCAAGAUGGCGGCGGGGGGGGGGUAGGAUGGAGAAGAAGGGCUUAUUGGGACCCCAAUGAUUUCCUGAGUUCCUGAUCCCCGGCAAACUUCCCCCUUUUUUCAAAAGGAAAAGAAAACCAACAUUCAAAGGUGCCCGGAAGAACUGAGACGGAGAGUUCUCGCACAUGCUCAGCAGGCCAAGCCUUUUUUUAUUAUUAUCAUCACUUUUUGCUUCAGCUGCUCUGUAGAAGGCACAUGCACCUGGUAUACCGUAGCUAGUCUCGGCUUAUGACCGUGCUGAACCUGGCAAUUGCGGUUGUGACAGUCGUAAAGCAAAUGACCAGACCUGUUUUUACGGCCUAUUUUGCAGCGGCCUUAAAGCAAAAACUGGUCAUUAAGCGAAUCUAUUUUUUGCUACGGGGCAGUUUUUUCCAGAAAUUUAAAGUAAAAUCCUGGUUUCCAACAAAACCAUUGUAAAUGGAGGUCAUGUGUCUUUGAGGGAGGGGCAGCAUCAGAACUUCAAAUCUAAGUCAUAAGUAGCUUUGGGGAGGGAGUCUUUUGUAACUUUGAGUGGUCACUAAGAGACCAGUUGUAAGUUGAGGACUAGCUGUACAAAUAAAGAAGCACUGGAAGGCUGUUUCUUAAGGCAACGGUCCUUGAGGACAUUGGCUUUUCUGGAACCAGGUGUGGAAGCUGAACAAAGGCAAUAGAAAGUGAUUCUGGGAUGUGGUCAAAAAGCUCAAGAGGGUGGUCACAAUUGCUGUCGAAGCUCUGCCUUUAUUUUUGUGGUGAGGGCUUAGCUUGCACCAUUGUGGCUGCCAUUUUGACUUUUUCUGACCACACCUUGGAUCUGACAAAGAGAAGAAAGGAAGGUGGAGGAGGAAGGAAGGUGAUUUACAGGUUCCUCUAAGAGAGGUUAUUUUUAAACCAUUGUUUCUUGAACAAGCCAUAAUAACUUGGGUUCACACAUGACCUUAAACCGUGGCACAGAACAAAACGUGCAGUAAAUUUAUUCAGGAUGUGUCAGAAAACAGCGCAAGGAGCAGGGGAAGGCAACGAGUGAAACUUCAACUUGCUAAAUCAAAUUGAAUCUUCCAAA